UUGGAGGGCAAGUCUGGUGCCAGCAGCCGCGGUAAUUCCAGCUCCAAUAGCGUAUAUUAAAGUUGUUGCAGUUAAAAAGCUCGUAGUUGAAUUUCGGGGUCAGUAGGUCGGUCGUGCCACUGGUAUGAACUGGUUUUACUGAUUCCUCCCUCUUGAAGAACUGUAAUGCCAUUAAUUUGGUGUUGCAGGGAAUCAGGACUGUUACUUUGAAAAAAUUAGAGUGUUUAAAGCUGGCUUUAGCUUGAAUACAUUAGCAUGGAAUAAUGAAAUAGGACGUUUGAUCCUAUUUUGUUGGUUUCUAGGAUUGACGUAAUGAUUAAUAGGGAUAGUUGGGGGCAUUAGUAUUCAAUUGUCAGAGGUGAAAUUCUUGGAUUUAUUGAAGACUAACUACUGCGAAAGCAUUUGCCAAGGAUGUUUUCAUUAAUCAAGAACGAAAGUUAGGGGAUCGAAGACGAUCAGAUACCGUCGUAGUCUUAACCAUAAACUAUGCCGACCAGGGAUCGGAUGAUGUUAAUUUUUUAAUGACUCAUUCGGCGCCUUACGGGAAAC
RNAcentral lists this ribosomal RNA (549 nucleotides) under uncultured Rhizophagus. RNAcentral describes it as "SSU rRNA". It matches the Rfam family "Eukaryotic small subunit ribosomal RNA", at positions 548 to 1098 of the family's 1831-position model. Lineage: Eukaryota; Fungi; Glomeromycota; Glomeromycetes; Glomerales; Glomeraceae. The record is from RNAcentral.